CUACGGGUUGCUGCAGUGGGGAAUCUUGGACAAUGGGCGCAAGCCUGAUCCAGCCAUGCCGCGUGAGUGAAGAAGGCCUUAGGGUCGUAAAGCUCUUUCGCCAGAGAUGAUAAUGACAGUAUCUGGUAAAGAAACCCCGGCUAACUCCGUGCCAGCAGCCGCGGUAAUACGGAGGUGGUUAGCGUUGUUCGGAAUUACUGGGCGUAAAGCGCGCGUAGGCGGAUUAGUCAGUCAGAGGUGAAAUCCCAGGGCUCAACCCUGGAACUGCCUUUGAUACUGCUAGGCUUGAGUUCGAGAGAGGUGAGUGGAAUUCCGAGUGUAGAGGUGAAAUUCGUAGAUAUUCGGAGGAACACCAGUGGCGAAGGCGGCUCACUGGCUCGAUACUGACGCUGAGGUGCGAAAGUGUGGGGAGCAAACAGGAUUAGAUACCCCGGUAGUC
This 439-nucleotide ribosomal RNA is filed under the name uncultured bacterium. Its description in RNAcentral is "partial 16S ribosomal RNA". It matches the Rfam family "Bacterial small subunit ribosomal RNA", at positions 339 to 795 of the family's 1533-position model. The record is from RNAcentral.